ACCGGGUGUGGUGGUGCAUGCCUGUAGUCCCAGCUACUUGGGAGGCUGAGGCAGGAGGAUCUCUUGAGCCCAGGAGGUUGAGGCUGCAGUGAGCCAUGAUGGUAUCACUGCACUCCUGCCUGGGUGAUGGAGUGAGACCUUGUCUCAA
Molecule: non-coding RNA, 148 nt
Organism: Homo sapiens (human)
Lineage: Eukaryota; Metazoa; Chordata; Mammalia; Primates; Hominidae
Rfam family: Metazoan signal recognition particle RNA
About the family: The signal recognition particle (SRP) is a universally conserved ribonucleoprotein. It is involved in the co-translational targeting of proteins to membranes.
Source: Rfam